AUUGAACGCUGGCGGCAGGCCUAACACAUGCAAGUCGAGCGGAUGAAGGGAGCUUGCUCCUGGAUUCAGCGGCGGACGGGUGAGUAAUGCCUAGGAAUCUGCCUGGUAGUGGGGGAUAACGUCCGGAAACGGGCGCUAAUACCGCAUACGUCCUGAGGGAGAAAGUGGGGGAUCUUCGGACCUCACGCUAUCAGAUGAGCCUAGGUCGGAUUAGCUAGUUGGUGGGGUAAAUGCCUACCAAGGCGACGAUCCGUAACUGGUCUGAGAGGAUGAUCAGUCACACUGGAACUGAGAUACGGUCCAGACUCCUACGGGAGGGAGCAGUGGGGAAUAUUGGACAAUGGGCGAAAGCCUGAUCCAGCCAUGCCGCGUGUGUGAAGAAGGUCUUCGGAUUGUAAAGCACUUUAAGUUGGGAGGAAGGGCAGUAAGUUAAUACCUUGCUGUUUUGACGUUACCAACAGAAUAAGCACCGGCUAACUUCGUG
RNAcentral lists this ribosomal RNA (484 nucleotides) under uncultured bacterium. Its description in RNAcentral is "partial 16S ribosomal RNA". It matches the Rfam family "Bacterial small subunit ribosomal RNA", at positions 30 to 507 of the family's 1533-position model. The record is from RNAcentral.